CCUACGGGUGGCAGCAGUGGGGAAUAUUGGGCAAUGUGCGCAAGCCUGACCCAGCAACGCCGCGUGAAGGAAGAAGGCUUUCGGGUUGUAAACUUCUUUUCUGAGGGACGAAGAAAGUGACGGUACCUCAGGAAUAAGCCACGGCUAACUACGUGCCAGCAGCCGCGGUAAUACGGAGGUGGCAAGCGUUAUCCGGAUUGAUUGGGUGUAAAGGGCGUGUAGGCGGGAAAGCAAGUCAGAUGUGAAAACUGAGGGAUCAACCCUGGGCCGGCAUUUGAAACUGUUUUUCUUGAGUGAUGGAGGGGCAAACGGAAUUCCGGGUGUAGCUGUGAAAUGCGUAGAU
RNAcentral lists this ribosomal RNA (343 nucleotides) under uncultured bacterium. RNAcentral's name for it is "partial 16S ribosomal RNA". It matches the Rfam family "Bacterial small subunit ribosomal RNA", at positions 338 to 695 of the family's 1533-position model. The record is from RNAcentral.